AUUAAACGCUGGCGGCAUGCCUUACACAUGCAAGUCGAACGGCAGCACGGGGGCAACCCUGGUGGCGAGUGGCGAACGGGUGAGUAAAGCAUCGGAACGUGCCCUGGAGUGGGGGAUAACGUAGCGAAAGUUACGCUAAUACCGCAUAUUCUGUGAGCAGGAAAGCAGGGGAUCGCAAGACCUUGCGCUCUGGGAGCGGCCGAUGUCGGAUUAGCUAGUUGGUGGGGUAAAGGCCUACCAAGGCGACGAUCCGUAGCGGGUCUGAGAGGAUGAUCGCCACACUGGGACUGAGACACGGCCCAGACUCCUACGGGAGGCAGCAGUGGGGAAUUUUGGGACAAUGGGCGAAAGCCUGAUCCAGCCAUGCCGCGUGAGUGAAGAAGGCCUCGG
RNAcentral lists this ribosomal RNA (390 nucleotides) under uncultured bacterium. Its description in RNAcentral is "bacterial SSU rRNA". It matches the Rfam family "Bacterial small subunit ribosomal RNA", at positions 29 to 420 of the family's 1533-position model. The record is from RNAcentral.